This 75-nucleotide ribosomal RNA is filed under the name Streptococcus pneumoniae. The record is from RNAcentral. Lineage: Bacteria; Bacillati; Bacillota; Bacilli; Lactobacillales; Streptococcaceae.
UUAAGUGACGAUAGCCUAGGAGAUACACCUGUACCCAUGCCGAACACAGCAGUUAAGCCCUAGAACGCCGGAAGU